Molecule: ribosomal RNA, 375 nt
Filed under: unicellular cyanobacterium HM4
Lineage: Bacteria; Bacillati; Cyanobacteriota
Description: bacterial SSU rRNA
Rfam family: Bacterial small subunit ribosomal RNA
Source: RNAcentral
CAAUGGGCGAAAGCCUGACGGAGCAAGACCGCGUGAGGGAGGAAGGCCUACUGGUUGUAAACCUCUUUUGAUAGGGAAGAACACAAUGACGGUACCUAUCGAAUCAGCAUCGGCUAACUCCGUGCCAGCAGCCGCGGUAAUACGGAGGAUGCAAGCGUUAUCCGGAAUUAUUGGGCGUAAAGCGUCCGUAGGUGGUUAGCCAAGUCAGCUGUUAAAGCGUGGAGCUUAACUCUAUAUCGGCAGUUGAAACUGGUUAGCUAGAGUGCGAUAGGGGCAAGGGGAAUUCCCAGUGUAGCGGUGAAAUGCGUAGAUAUUGGGAAGAACAUCGGUGGCGAAAGCGCCUUGCUGGGUCUGCACUGACACUGAGGGACGAAA